CACGUAGGGUGCGAGCGUUGUCCGGAAUUAUUGGGCGUAAAGAGCUCGUAGGCGGUGUGUCGCGUCGGCCGUGAAAACCUGCAGCUUAACUGUGGGCUUGCGGUCGAUACGGGCAUCACUGGAGUUCGGCAGGGGAGACUGGAAUUCCUGGUGUAGCGGUGAAAUGCGCAGAUAUCAGGAGGAAUACCGGUGGCGAAGGCGGCAUCCUGGACCGGCAUUGACGCUGAGGAGCGAAAGCCAGGGGAGCAAACGGG
RNAcentral lists this ribosomal RNA (254 nucleotides) under uncultured bacterium. RNAcentral's name for it is "partial 16S ribosomal RNA". It matches the Rfam family "Bacterial small subunit ribosomal RNA", at positions 524 to 776 of the family's 1533-position model. The record is from RNAcentral.